GGGGAAUAUUGGACAAUGGGCGAAAGCCUGAUCCAGCCAUGCCGCGUGUGUGAAGAAGGUCUUCGGAUUGUAAAGCACUUUAAGUUGGGAGGAAGGGCAGUUACCUAAUACGUGAUUGUUUUGACGUUACCGACAGAAUAAGCACCGGCUAACUCUGUGCCAGCAGCCGCGGUAAUACAGAGGGUGCAAGCGUUAAUCGGAAUUACUGGGCGUAAAGCGCGCGUAGGUGGUUAGUUAAGUUGGAUGUGAAAUCCCCGGGCUCAACCUGGGAACUGCAUUCAAAACUGACUGACUAGAGUAUGGUAGAGGAAAGUGGAAUUCCAAGUGUAGCGGUGAAAUGCGUAGAGAUUUGGAGGAACACCAGUGGCGAAGGCGACUUUCUGGUCUGCAACUGACGCUGAGGCGCGAAAGCAUGGGGAGCAAACA
This 426-nucleotide ribosomal RNA is filed under the name uncultured Pseudomonadaceae bacterium. Its description in RNAcentral is "bacterial SSU rRNA". It matches the Rfam family "Bacterial small subunit ribosomal RNA", at positions 356 to 774 of the family's 1533-position model. The record is from RNAcentral. Lineage: Bacteria; Pseudomonadati; Pseudomonadota; Gammaproteobacteria; Pseudomonadales; Pseudomonadaceae.